AUUACCGAGUGAGGGCCCUCUGGGUCCAACCUCCCACCCGUGUUUAUUUUACCUUGUUGCUUCGGCGAGCCUGCCUUUUGGCUGCCGGGGGACGUCUGUCCCCGGGUCCGCGCUCGCCGAAGACACCUUAGAACUCUGUCUGAAGAUUGUAGUCUGAGAUUAAAUAUAAAUUAUUUAAAACUUUCAACAACGGAUCUCUUGGUUCCGGCAUCGAUGAAGAACGCAGCGAAAUGCGAUACGUAAUGUGAAUUGCAGAAUUCAGUGAAUCAUCGAGUCUUUGAACGCACAUUGCGCCCUCUGGUAUUCCGGAGGGCAUGCCUGUCCGAGCGUCAUUGCUGCCCUCAAGCACGGCUUGUGUGUUGGGCUCCGUCCUCCUUCCGGGGGACGGGCCCGAAAGGCAGCGGCGGCACCGCGUCCGGUCCUCAAGCGUAUGGGGCUUUGUCACCCGCUUUGUAGGACUGGCCGGCGCCUGCCGAUCAACCAAACUUUUUUCCAGGUUGACCUCGGAUCAGGUAGGGAUACCCGCUGAACUUAAGCAUAUCAAUAAGCGGAGGAAAAGAAACCAACAGGGAUUGCCCCAGUAACGGCGAGUGAAGCGGCAAGAGCUCAAAUUUGAAAGCUGGCUCCUUCGGGGUCCGCAUUGUAAUUUGCAGAGGAUGCUUCGGGAGCGGUCCCCAUCUAAGUGCCCUGGAACGGGACGUCAUAGAGGGUGAGAAUCCCGUAUGGGGAUGGGGUGUCCGCGCCCGUGUGAAGCUCCUUCGACGAGUCGAGUUGUUUGGGAAUGC
RNAcentral lists this ribosomal RNA (785 nucleotides) under fungal endophyte. Its description in RNAcentral is "eukaryotic LSU rRNA". The stretch from base 499 to 785 matches the Rfam family "Eukaryotic large subunit ribosomal RNA", at positions 1 to 283 of the family's 3401-position model. Lineage: Eukaryota; Fungi. The record is from RNAcentral.